AACGAACGCUGGCGGCAUGCCUAACACAUGCAAGUCGAACGAGACCUUCGGGUCUAGUGGCGCACGGGUUCGUAACGCGUGGGAACCUUCCCUUAUGUUCGGCAUAACUCCCCGAAAGGGGUGCUAAUACCGGAUAAUGUCUUCUGACCAAAGAUUUAUCGCCUUUGGUUGGGCCCGCGUUGGAUUAGCUAUUUGUUAGGGUAAAAGCCUCCCAAGGCGACGAUCCGUAGCUGGUCUGAGAGGAUGGUCAGCCACACUGGGACUGAGACACGGCCCAGACUCCUACGGGAGGCAGCAGUGGGGAAUAUUGGACAAUGGGCGGAAGCAUGAUGCAGUAAUGCCGCGUGAGUGAUGAAGGCCUUAGGGUUGUAAAGCUCUUUUACCCGGGAUGAUAAUGACAGUACCGGGAGAAUAAGCUCCGGCUAACUCCGUG
This 433-nucleotide ribosomal RNA is filed under the name uncultured bacterium. Its description in RNAcentral is "partial 16S ribosomal RNA". It matches the Rfam family "Bacterial small subunit ribosomal RNA", at positions 29 to 507 of the family's 1533-position model. The record is from RNAcentral.